This 1505-nucleotide long non-coding RNA is filed under the name Marmota monax (woodchuck). The record is from RNAcentral. Lineage: Eukaryota; Metazoa; Chordata; Mammalia; Rodentia; Sciuridae.
CGCCUGCCUACGCCCCUCGCUGCAUUUGGGCCUCACCCACCCCAGCUUCCAGCAGCGGAAGCCUGGCGGGCUGGAGGGCUGGUCCAAGGUCAAGCUGCAGAUCCCUAAAAGAGGAAGAGCUGCCGUUUUGACCCAGGCUCCCCAGCUACAGGCUCAAGAUGACCUCGCCUGUCCUUUGCAGGUACCGCCCACACGGGCAUGCCUGGACUCUGAGAAAAUAACUAAUUUGGUCUCUGCUUGGUGCCUUUUGCUGGCUGGUUUCAUGUCUGCUUCCCUGUUCAGUACCUGGAGAUUGAAAUUGCUCCACUCUCCUUACCCCCAGCUGCUCCCUGCCCCAGAACAACUCACAAGAACACACUGAGGUUCUGUCCCUCUGCCCUCCUGCCUUCUCUUCCUCAGAACCACCCCUACCAUUUACUGGCACAGAACAUUCUCCUAGGAACUGAGAGUGCAAGGAGUAAAUGGGGGCUUUCCUCUAACCACUGAACAAAACAAACCACUGGACAUCUCCACGGUUACACUUUUUUUGAGUGACUGGAGCAGCCCGUUUAUAAUUAUGGCAAGACAGUUGGCAUAGCCCAGAACUGAUCCCAGCAUAGGGGACAGAGUUCACCUCAGGCACUUGGGAGAGACCUGAGAGAUGGAUCUGCAGGCUGGGUUCAGCCAUUAUCUAGUGUGUGACCUUGGAAAAGUCACUUAAUGUUCCUGAAACUCAGUUACAUAAUUUUGGAAACUAAGGACUGAAAAUUGUCCAGAUGUCCUUCUCUUCAAGGUUAGAGCAACUUUAGAAGAAACAGUGACCUGUUUUAGCCUAUGCACUGAUAGACACCCAAUGUAUGAUUUUAGACACUCGCCCCCUAGUUCUAAAUUGACAGGAUUGCAGUACCAAGAGAAAAACGUGUCUAUGGGUGGUGACCCAAAUCGCUCAUUCCCCCUUUCCUCUCCCUUUCUCUCCCUUGCUCUUCAAACACGUGCCAAAGCCUCAUUAAAGACGGAAAACCAGUCCAUUAGGUGCAAAUGCAUGGAAACAUAUUCAUGAUUAUUCAAAUGAAGCCGUGUAAAAUAAUCAGCGCUGCCUUCAUGCAUAUUCAUCGUCACCAUGCUAAUCACUCAGUAAUCUCACAAGAGGGUGUGCCCCUCUAAUCCGGCUCCCUUUCCCCUCUCCCUGCUCCUCCCUUUGUCUGAGACUUUUUCUCCGCUCCUAAGCCUCCCAAGGUCUUCUUAGGUCUUCACAAUCUCAUUCUGGGGAAAGAUAUUUCUGGUUCCGAGCUAAAGGUUGCUUUAUUUAUCUCCAUCGGAAGAUGAUUCUACCAGAAGGUUACCCUUCUUCUGUGAAGCAUGCCUGGUUGUGGUUCAACAGCAUCGGUACUUCCUGAUGCUUCCUGCGAUGGAGAAGAGGUUCUCUUCACCAUAUGGGCACUGGGCAGAGCACCGUGCUGGGCUGAGGGGAUCACCCACAAGGACACUUCACAGUCAAGGGCAGGAUGAAGACAAGGGAAAUGAUG